UGGAUCGCUGUUCCCACACGG
Molecule: unclassified non-coding RNA, 21 nt
Filed under: Chlamydomonas reinhardtii
Lineage: Eukaryota; Viridiplantae; Chlorophyta; Chlorophyceae; Chlamydomonadales; Chlamydomonadaceae
Description: small RNA Cre_3271
Source: RNAcentral